Molecule: long non-coding RNA, 229 nt
Filed under: Mytilus galloprovincialis (Mediterranean mussel)
Lineage: Eukaryota; Metazoa; Mollusca; Bivalvia; Mytilida; Mytilidae
Source: RNAcentral
AUAAAAUUGAGAAUGGAAAUGGGGAAUGUGCCAAAGAGACAACAGCCCGACCAUAGAGCAGACAACAGCAGAAGGUCACCAACAGGUCUGCAAUGCAACGAGAAAUUCUCGCACCCGGAGGCGUCCUUCAGCUGGCCCCUAAACAAAUAUAUACUGGUUCAGUGAUAAUGAACACCAUACUAAACUCCAAAUUGUACACAAGAAUCUAAAAGUUAAAAUAAUACAAGAC